Molecule: ribosomal RNA, 465 nt
Filed under: Vreelandella stevensii
Lineage: Bacteria; Pseudomonadati; Pseudomonadota; Gammaproteobacteria; Oceanospirillales; Halomonadaceae
Description: partial 16S ribosomal RNA
Rfam family: Bacterial small subunit ribosomal RNA
Source: RNAcentral
CCUACGGGAGGCAGCAGUGGGGAAUAUUGGACAAUGGGCGAAAGCCUGAUCCAGCCAUGCCGCGUGUGUGAAGAAGGCCUUCGGGUUGUAAAGCACUUUCAGUGGGGAAGAAAGCCUUGGGGCUAAUACCCUCGAGGAAGGACAUCACCCACAGAAGAAGCACCGGCUAACUCCGUGCCAGCAGCCGCGGUAAUACGGAGGGUGCGAGCGUUAAUCGGAAUUACGGGGCGUAAAGCGCGCGUAGGCGGUCUGAUAAGCCGGUUGUGAAAGCCCCGGGCUCAACCUGGGAACGGCAUCCGGAACUGUCAGGCUAGAGUGCAGGAGAGGAAGGUAGAAUUCCCGGUGUAGCGGUGAAAUGCGUAGAGAUCGGGAGGAAUACCAGUGGCGAAGGCGGCCUUCUGGACUGACACUGACGCUGAGGUGCGAAAGCGUGGGUAGCAAACAGGAUUAGAUACCCUUGUAGUC